AGCAAGAGCCCGGAGAUGGAUUCUGAGACAUGAAUCCAGGCCCUACGGGGCGCAGCAGGCGCGAAAACUUUACAAUGCGGGAAACCGUGAUAAGGGGACACCGAGUGCCAGCGUCAUACGCUGGCUGUCCAGGUGUGUAAAAUACACCUGUUAGCAAGGGCCGGGCAAGACCGGUGCCAGCCGCCGCGGUAACACCGGCGGCCCGAGUGGUGAUCGUGAUUAUUGGGUCUAAAGGGUCCGUAGCCGGUUUAGUCAGUCCUCCGGGAAAUCUGACAGCUCAACUGUUAGGCUUUCGGGGGAUACUGCCAGACUUGGAACCGGGAGAGGUAAGAGGUACUACAGGGGUAGGAGUGAAAUCUUGUAAUCCCUGUGGGACCACCUGUGGCGAAGGCGUCUUACCAGAACGGGUUCGACGGUGAGGGACGAAAGCUGGG
This 434-nucleotide ribosomal RNA is filed under the name uncultured archaeon. Its description in RNAcentral is "bacterial SSU rRNA". It matches the Rfam family "Archaeal small subunit ribosomal RNA", at positions 281 to 715 of the family's 1478-position model. The record is from RNAcentral.